This 469-nucleotide ribosomal RNA is filed under the name uncultured bacterium. Its description in RNAcentral is "partial 16S ribosomal RNA". It matches the Rfam family "Bacterial small subunit ribosomal RNA", at positions 28 to 507 of the family's 1533-position model. The record is from RNAcentral.
GACUAACGCUGGCGGCGUGCUUAACACAUGCAAGUCGAACGGAAAGGCCCUGCUUGCAGGGUGCUCGAGUGGCGAACGGGUGAGUAACACGUGGGUGAUCUGCCCCUUACUUUGGGAUAAGCCUGGGAAACUGGGUCUAAUACUGGAUAGGACCAUGCUGUAGGUGGUGUGGUGGAAAGAUUAGUUUCGGUAAGGGAUGAGCUCGCGGCCUAUCAGCUUGUUGGUGGGGUAAUGGCCUACCAAGGCGUCGACGGGUAGCCGGCCUGAGAGGGUGGACGGCCACAUUGGGACUGAGAUACGGCCCAGACGCCUACGGGAGGCAGCAGUGGGGAAUAUUGCACAAUGGGCGCAAGCCUGAUGCAGCGACGCCGCGUGGGGGAUGACGGCCUUCGGGUUGUAAACUCCUUUCAGCCAUGACGAAGCCCUUGUGGUGACGGUAGUGGUAGAAGAAGCACCGGCUAACUACGUG